This 289-nucleotide long non-coding RNA is filed under the name Medicago truncatula (barrel medic). RNAcentral describes it as "long non-coding RNA (MTRU_LNC000538)". The record is from RNAcentral. Lineage: Eukaryota; Viridiplantae; Streptophyta; Magnoliopsida; Fabales; Fabaceae.
GCGGCGGCGAUUGGCUGGAGGAGCAGCGGCGGCGGCGAUUGGCUGUAGGAGAAGCGGCGGCGGCGAUUGGGUGGCGGAGGCAGGUCUGAGGUGAGGAACUGAGGAUAUGGGUGGGUGUGGUGGUUUAUGAGUUUAUGAGUUUCUAACUUCUAAUUCAACAAAAGGUCUGAGGUGAGGAACUGAGGAUAAAGGGUUUACAUUUUUAAUUAAACAAAAGGAAUUAGUUUGAGCAAAAAAAUGAUUAAAAUUAAAAUAUAUUGGGCCCCACGGAAAAGAAGAACUGUAAAGG